UCAACAGAUCAUAAUACCAUAAGGUGGGUA
This 30-nucleotide small RNA is filed under the name Bombyx mori (domestic silkworm). RNAcentral describes it as "ovarian small RNA-24565". The record is from RNAcentral. Lineage: Eukaryota; Metazoa; Arthropoda; Insecta; Lepidoptera; Bombycidae.